Heterocephalus glaber (naked mole-rat) is the source of this 1131-nucleotide long non-coding RNA. RefSeq lists it as uncharacterized. Lineage: Eukaryota; Metazoa; Chordata; Mammalia; Rodentia; Bathyergidae. The record is from RefSeq and is a predicted model, not a curated record.
AAAUAGUGCCAGGAUGGUCAUGUGGUAGCACUCCAGCUUGGGAUGGAUUUGGACAUAGUCUCCCUUCUCACGAUGUCUGGUGAUUUAAAGAAGCUGCUGCAUAAACCCCCAGACUUCUUAUUGGAUUCAACUCUCAUUCCCCACCAGCUUUUUUUUUUUUUGGUACUGGGGAUCGAACUUGGGUCCUUGCACUUGCGCAGCAGGUGGUGAAACCACUGAGCUAAAUCCCCAGCCCAGCCCACCAGCUAUUUUUAAAAGGGAACCUAAAACUACUCUAAAAAAUAAAGACUAUUUAAGAAAAAGAAUGAAGUGCAAACAAAUGCUACAAUGGAAGUGAAGCUUGAAAACAUGCUUAGUGAAGGAAACCAGACACAAGAGUCAGUAUUAUAUGAUUCUACUUGCAUGAAGGUCAAGAACAGGCAAAGCUGUGAAGACAGGAAUUUGAUGAGUGGCUGGCUGGCACUGGAGGAUGAGAGGGACUGCAGCUGAGUGUGGGAUUUGAUUCCUUUUGGAGUACUGAGAAUGUGAGGUGGUGGUGACAGUCGCACAGCCUUGUGAAUAGGCCGACUACCACUGAAUUUAAAAGGGGGAGCAAGAGGAAAUAAUAUGAGAUCUACAGGCAGAACAUCUCCUGGCACUGUGCAAAGGCCAAACUGGCCAAGGACAGAUUUGAUGUUAUGAAAGACAAGCCUUAUGUUUGGAUUACACAUCAAGUAACCAGCAGAGAGAAUUUACUACUAUGUUUGAAGAGCUAGAAUGAAAAUAAAGAAAACUGGAAGAAUUUUUGGAUCCUAAUGGAUCCAUGCACAGCCAGAGCUGUUGGAACAUUUUGUCAACUGCAUGGAGAUUUGUAUAUUCCUUCUAAUGAAACUGGUGAAAUGGGAGUGGCUGAACACUGGAGGAUUGGCUUCAGUAAACACUGCCCUCUAACAUGGUGGUGGAAACUUCCCUGAGUCUGAGAAGAGAGACAUGCUUCUGUUGUUAAAGAGAGGCCAAAGAUCAUUUUUCACAUGUAUUCAUUCUUGUAAGUGAGACCUGGCCUGGCUACUCCACCCUAUUCCCUGGUCUAGUUCUUUUUCAAUAGAACUUAUCAUGCUUAAAUCAUGUAUGUUUUCCUUUUUGGUUAUGUUU